Long non-coding RNA from Juglans microcarpa x Juglans regia, 333 nucleotides. RefSeq lists it as uncharacterized. Lineage: Eukaryota; Viridiplantae; Streptophyta; Magnoliopsida; Fagales; Juglandaceae. The transcript is spliced from 3 exons. The record is from RefSeq and is a predicted model, not a curated record.
AUGUAGAAGGCAUUGACAUUGAAGUAUGAGCCAUUCAUAGAACAUGAAUAUGAGAGUACUCCUAGAAGAAAGAGGAGACUUUUUCUUGGUGGUGAGAUCACUAAGAUGGAGGGAAAAAUUAAGGAUGUCUACGAUAAGAGGAACACACAAAAAUCCAAGCAAACAUAGAGAUUAGAGAAUAUCUACAUGGUCUCACAUGCUCCACUUGAUGAAUAUGGUGAGAUUUCAUGAACAGAAAUAAACCUAAUUUUCUAUUAUCUUUGUUGAUUAUCUCCUCAAAUAACUGUAGAAGAAUCAGUCAUCUUUUCUGCUUGGUUGCGUUUGUCUCCUGAU